AACGAGGCCGACCUGCGGCUGAGUUACCUGCGGAGGGAUCAUUACCUAGAGUUGUAGGCUUUGCCUGCUAUCUCUUACCCAUGUCUUUUGAGUACCUUACGUUUCCUCGGUGGGUUCGCCCGCCGGUUGGACAAAACUUAAACCCUUUGUAGUUGCAAUCAGCGUCUGAAAAAACUUAACAGUUACAACUUUCAACAACGGAUCU
This 205-nucleotide unclassified non-coding RNA is filed under the name soil metagenome. Its description in RNAcentral is "partial contains 5.8S ribosomal RNA, internal transcribed spacer 2, and large subunit ribosomal RNA". The record is from RNAcentral.